AUUGAACGCUGGCGGCAGGCCUAACACAUGCAAGUCGAAUGGUAACAGGAAACAGCUUGCUGUUUCGCUGACGAGUGGCGGACGGGUGAGUAAUGUCUGGGAAACUGCCUGAUGGAGGGGGAUAACUACUGGAAACGGUAGCUAAUACCGCAUAACGUCGCAAGACCAAAGAGGGGGACCUUCGGGCCUCUUGCCAUCAGAUGUGCCCAGAUGGGAUUAGCUAGGAGGUGGGGUAACGGCUCACCUAGGCGACGAUCCCUAGCUGGUCUGAGAGGAGGACCAGCCACACUGGAACUGAGACACGGUCCAGACGCCUAAGGGAGGCAGCAGUGGGGAAUAUUGCACAAUGGGCGGAAGCCUGAUGCAGCCAUGCCGCGUGUAUGAAGAAGGCCUUCGGGGUGUAAAGUACUUUCAGCGGGGAGGAAGGGAAUAAAGUUAAUACCUUUGCUCAUUGACGGUACCCGCAGAAGAAGCACCGGCUAACUCCGUG
Molecule: ribosomal RNA, 490 nt
Filed under: uncultured bacterium
Lineage: Bacteria
Description: partial 16S ribosomal RNA
Rfam family: Bacterial small subunit ribosomal RNA
Source: RNAcentral